ACUCAGUGCCAAAGAACCUUGAAUGUGGGUGGCCUGGUAUUGCUAUAUAUCAGCACCUCUCAAGGCUCAAGCCAUCUCACGCACGUUAUGGAAAGCAAGGAUUGUCACUGCGUGGCCUACUCUCCCACCCAUCACAUGUCGUUGUGAACCAAUGGAACAUCAUCUCUUGUUCUUAUAAACAACAGAGAGAAGCUUUGAGUCAGCUGCCAUUACUUUUCAUUCAUGGUACGAGAUGGAGACUUCAAGGGGGAAUUUGGUUGCUUCUAUGGUGUUUAUUAUAGGAGAAUGAGAUUAAAUGGGUUGUGUGGACUGAUUAUGGAAAAUGGUGUUGGUGGUUAUCCAAUGGAGUUGGUCGCAGGUGGAGAUUGAAUGAGAGUUUUGGUCUUAAUUGUGACACGGGCGUGUAUGAAUGGGAUUUUCAGGUCAAGAAAAAUCUAUAAACAAGGUUUCGAAAUCAGUCUCGAACAUGCCUUUAGCCGCACAGAAACUGCACUUCAGUUGCUCGAAGAAUUGCCUGAAAGAAGAUGGAAUCAGUUUCUUAAACUGUUGGCAGUUGCAUUCAUGUUGAAUGGAAGAAAGAUGCGAGACAAGGAGCUGGUGAUGCAACUGGACUGGUGGUUAUGGUGAACUGGUAACCGCAGGAGAAGAUGGAGGAGUUAUGUUCGUUCCGUUUCGUUUGUGUUCUUUGACCAAGCUAUGGUUGAGCAAUGCAGUCGAUCGAUGGAGUAAGCAGCUUUGUUACUGCAGCUGUGUGCUCGAGUCUAUUUGGGGUAUGUUUGGUGAAUUUGAAUCAGUUCUUGGAGAUGAUGUUAAUGGCUGCAGCUACGGAUCUGUGGGGCUCCCAUGUGAUCAGAAAUAGGUGCCUGGAUUGUUUGCAGGAGACGAUUGAAUUGUAGUUCUGAUUACGGGAAGGACUGGUAAUGGGUUCUGAAUUUUGUCGUGGCAGCAGUGGUCGUUGAAGCAAAUAUGGACAGGAUAAGUGGUGUCUGAGAUGGGUUUAAGCUGAGGUUCUUAACUGAUAAAAUACACACAGCAGGAGAUGAUGGAAGCGGUUUUGAUCAUUGUGAACUCUUAGGGCAGUCGACAGUGAAGAUUGGCCGAAUUCGACAGUGGUUUGGUCGAGUUUCUGCGCAAAGAAAACAACAAGAGCAUUGAGCAGUUGUCGUUAAUCAUGGAGUCUGAAUUUGGAAGGCAGAAGUUGGAUGGAUGGAAUUAAUUACAGAUACAAUAGGUUAUUGAUGGUACAUGCAUCGAUUUCUUGAGAUAAUGAGAACUGGCCGCUCGUGGUGAUGAAUUUUCUUUCGGUAUAAAGAACAUCAAGGAAGGAAAGAACUUGAGGAUCUUUGGCAUGAAUGGAGUUGACGUCGCUGGUGUUGUUUGCGUAUACAACAAAUGGGACGGAGAUGACCAGGGAAGCAUUGCUGCUGGCAGAGAUGAGAAUAAUGGAGCUGUGAACAUACCGACUGAAGAAGGGAGAUGUUGAUCACGAUGGUAGCUGUAUCGGUGAUUAGCAAAGUUUAAUGGUGGUCGCCGGCAAUGGUUAGGAAGCAGAAAGUGGUGUCUUCUUUAUCUUUAUGCCGAUGGAGUUCAGUGAUGAGAAGACGAGAUCAAUUGCAGCCGAUGAAUGUGGAGUAUAUUGGCUGGAUAAUCGUGAUUGAUGCAAAGAGCCGUAAGAAGAAGAGACACCAGUCUGUUAUGGUUGCAACGGGUGACUGGAGGUGCAAGUAACCGAGAUUCAAGGAGUUGGUGUUGCUGCCAUGUCAUGGCAAUGAACAACGAAUUGGUCAUUGAUGCCGAUAAGUGGAUGGGCUGUUGGCUGUGUUGCGAAAAGUGGAGUCUGGUGGUUGUUUGCCAAUGAAGAAGAACAACAAGCCUAUCUGCUGUGAGCUAAUGGAGCGACUGCAAUGGGAACUCGGAGAUUCAAAUCGAGGUGCUGUUGAAAUCAAGGUCGAUGGCGAGGUCUCGUUGACUAAAUAAUUGCAGGCGAAGAUGGAAUGACUGGGCAGCAUUACUUGAGAUGCUGGAGUUGGUAUUGGUGGAGGAUAACAGUCGAGAACAAAACAAGAAGAACUGAUGCUGUAGCCAUUGGUUCAUGGCUGUUGGGUCUAACGGAAGAGUUCACUGCCGAUUGAGAUUCUCGGGCGGAAAUAAAAUGGAAACUGGAGUUGGAUGGUCAGGCGUGUAUGUGAAAGUGAAACCUACUGCUAGACCCAUUUUUUCAUUAUUUUCCACUCACAAACCCACGGGUUCGAAAUUUCACGCGCUCACCCAAUUUUUCCGAAUAAAUUCCUCCCAGACCAUAAUUUCCGAAAUUGUGUUUUUUUUUUCGUUAAUCCCAAACUGUCCUUCCAGAUUCUUAUUUCUUCGUUUUCUUCGCGAAACAGAGAGAAAGGCAAGAGAGAAGCUGCUGAUUUUCUUUGCAAGUGAUAUUCUCUUUACAUUUCAACUUUCAAUUUUCCUUUCUAGGUUUUGUUCGAUUUAAAUUCUUCUCUUUUCGCUUUUAUAUAUUUGCUUUUGUUGUUUUCUUAGGAUUUUGAAGCACAUGAGAUUUUACACAGGGAAGGAGCUUUACAAACUUAAAGGCGAUCUAGGAUUCGUUUUUCUUUUUUUUCAUUUGGCUUCAAUUUUUAUUUCGUUUAUCGUUGGGGGUUUUAUUGAUCUGGUAAGGAAUCUAUAUUUUUGUUGUGUUUUUGAUUUUCAUUUUAACAACUGAAUCUCGUUGUGUAUUAAGAUCCUCUCUUCCUAAGGAAUCUACAAACAUAAUGAUAUAGAUUAUUGCAUGAUAAUAAUCUCGAUCAAUUUUUACUUUAGAAUUUGGAUUUGUGUUUUUAAUUUUUUUCUUGUAUUUGAGAAUUUGGAGUUCCAAAUUUAGGGGUUUGGGGCAUUUAACUGGCUUGCUCUUCCUAGUUAUGCAACCUUAGAAAUGGGUUUGAAUCAAGGUUUACUGGUGAAGUCAAAAAAAUUGGAAUUAGGUGUUAAUUUUGAUCAAUUUUGGCAGAUGUGACAAUGGUUUUAUGUGAGCUUGAGUUUGUUAUAAAGAGAGUGAAGAUACCAACCAUUCCGGAUGGGAGCGUGAUGGAUUUGUUUCUAAUAACGGUUACAAGGAUAGCUGGGCUAAGAGAACAUUACAAACAUGUUGAGAAGCUUAUAAAAGAGCUUGGAGUCUUCACAACAGUUUAUCUUUCUGGUGAAGAUGCAUGCCUUUAUGAUAUGGACCCUGAGGAAUUGGAUCAACUUGCUCGCGACCAUAUCAGCGAAAUGGAGCUCUUUCGAGUUUCGUACAACAACAAUAAACGAUGGAAUUUGGGGAGUUUGUAUGGCUUGGAAAAAAGGACUUAGAGAUGGUUCUUAUGAGAAAAAAGGACUUGAAUAAGGAAUUUGUAGCUUGGAUAAGUGGCUGGUUCUUACUGUGAAUUGUUGGUCUCGAUCAAGAAAUGAUGUGCAGCGACAAAGUUAGGUUCCGAAAUAUGCUUAAAUUGGCUAAUGCAACAUUGUUAAUUGAAUGAUUUGGGAAUUAUGUGUUGCCUGAAUUGACAUACAGGGGUUUUGGAGUGAGAUGGUCUAAUUUGGAAUUAUUUGAUUCGGUCGCAGAAAGUGCUUAGGAAGACAGAAAUGAAAAGGUGGUAUUGUUUCGUCCAAAUUCCUAUCUCAUUUUUGUUUAUUAUUGCAUUAUUUACUGCGAACUGACAGGCUUCAAGGUACUGUCUAUUUUUCCAUGCCAUUGCUUGUAUAUUUGUUUAUAAUGCUUAAAACAUUUUCGAUAACUAGUUUAUGUUGUUAGACAGUAAGGAGGUUUGAGGGACCUCUGUUAUUACCACGUACAACAAAUGCAAAUUUUUAGUUUAGUGCAGUUGUUAAGUUCAAGGUUGAGUGCAGAUUGAGAACUGAAUUUUUUCUUGCUGACUAUAAUGGUGGCUGGUAGUGACACUCUAACAGUUACUGCUCAUGCCUUUGAUUGUCUUUUUUAUUUCAUAUUUUCUUAAUAUGCCGUUUUAUGACCCAAUGUUGUGUUGUGUUGUCGUUGCAGGGGAUCAGGUGGAAAGAGAACAUAGGGAGGCACACUUGAAUUAAGAGAUGACGAUACGGUUAAUCCAAACGAUCCCAACCAUGACAGUAAUGAGAUAUAAAAGGUCCCCCUAGGAACGACAAAUAGAUUUUUUCAUUUGAUAUGUUAUUGUGUUGUGGAUGACUUAGUCAUUGUAGUUUUUAUAUUGUAAUUGCAAGAUUAGUCAUUUUUUGCAAUUAAAGAAUUUUUUGCAAGUUAA
This is a long non-coding RNA of Papaver somniferum (opium poppy), 4265 nucleotides long. RefSeq lists it as uncharacterized. The transcript is spliced from 3 exons. The record is from RefSeq and is a predicted model, not a curated record. Lineage: Eukaryota; Viridiplantae; Streptophyta; Magnoliopsida; Ranunculales; Papaveraceae.